GGGGCUGGGGCUCAGUGGUAGAGCACUUGCCUGGCAUGCGUGAGGCACUGGUUUCGAUUCUCAGCACCG
This is a non-coding RNA of Ictidomys tridecemlineatus (thirteen-lined ground squirrel), 69 nucleotides long. The record is from Rfam. NCBI's taxonomy places the organism in Eukaryota, Metazoa, Chordata, Mammalia, Rodentia, Sciuridae.